This 645-nucleotide ribosomal RNA is filed under the name Triticum aestivum (bread wheat). Its description in RNAcentral is "partial small subunit ribosomal RNA". The record is from RNAcentral. Lineage: Eukaryota; Viridiplantae; Streptophyta; Magnoliopsida; Poales; Poaceae.
AUGAGUUCGUCGUUUGAUUCUUCCGAAGAAGAAUUUGAUAUGGAAGAGGAGGAGGAUCUUGCGAUGAUCCUAGCUAUGCAUAUCAAUAAAAAACCGAAGCACGGUGGUUCGGUUAUGGGUCGAGAGAAAAUUUGGAGAGAUAGGAUUGAUGCCCAUAACAGAUUGAUGAAGAACUAUUUCGUGGAGAAUCCCACAUACCCGGAGUCGUAUUUUCGUCGCCGGUUUAGGAUGAGCACCGACUUGUUCAGGCACAUUGCAGAGAAACUAGCGAGUCAUGACCGGUUUUUCCAGCAAAGGAGGAAUGCCGCCGGAGAGCUCGGGCAUAGCACCUUUCUAAAGGUGACAGCCGCUUUGCGUAUGUUGGCAUACGGUAUCCCGGCUGAUCUAGUUGAUGAUCACUUAGCUAUGGGUGAGAGCCAAGCCAUCAUGUGUGUCAAGCGCUUUGCAGUGGGAAUUGUGCAAGUGUUUGGCGAGGAGUAUUUGAGAUCUCCCACUACUGAAGACGCCGCAAGGCUAUUGGCGAUGAACAGCGCUCGCGGCUUUCCUGGCAUGCUUGGCUCAAUAGAUUGCAUGCAUUGGAGUUGGAAGAAUUGUCCAAAGGCAUGGCACGGACAAUUCCAUGGCCAAAAAAAGGUUUCACUAUAA